AGAAGUGGAUGAUGUUGCAAUAGAGAGUUCUUUCUAGACCUUUGAGGUGGUGACUGCAUCUUAUGUGGCAGAGGGAAUGCAAGCCCCUAAGCCUAAUGUGCCACGAACAACAAACAUGUUAUUUUCCUAGACAAUAAGGAAGGGUUAGAAAAUCCACUUAAGUUUGGGAAAAAACCUACAAGGUAUCUCAGAAGCCAUUUUUGUUCCCAC
RNAcentral lists this long non-coding RNA (210 nucleotides) under Gossypium barbadense (sea-island cotton). RNAcentral's name for it is "long non-coding RNA (GBAR_LNC012468)". Lineage: Eukaryota; Viridiplantae; Streptophyta; Magnoliopsida; Malvales; Malvaceae. The record is from RNAcentral.